GCGGUAUGCUUUACACAUGCAAGUCGUACGAGAGUUUUUAACUCAAGUGGCGGACGGGUGAGUAACACGUAAGAAUUUACCUUUAGGAGGGGGAUAACAAUUAGAAAUGGCUGCUAAUACCCCAUAUGCUUUCGAGUGAAAUGGAGUUUUCCGCCUAGAGAGAAGCUUGCGGCUGAUUAGCUUGUUGGUGAGGUAAUGGCUUACCAAGGCGACGAUCAGUAUCUGGUUUGAGAGGAUGAUCAGACACACUGGAACUGAGACACGGUCCAGACUCUUACGGGAGGCAGCAGUGGGGAAUUUUCCGCAAUGGGCGAAAGCCUGACGGAGCAAUACCGCGUGAGGGAUGACGGCCUAUGGGUUGUAAACCUCUUUUUUCAGGGAGGAAUAAAUGACGUGUACCUGAAGAAUAAGCAUCGGC
This 418-nucleotide ribosomal RNA is filed under the name uncultured bacterium. RNAcentral's name for it is "bacterial SSU rRNA". It matches the Rfam family "Bacterial small subunit ribosomal RNA", at positions 39 to 497 of the family's 1533-position model. The record is from RNAcentral.